Molecule: ribosomal RNA, 126 nt
Organism: Saimiri boliviensis boliviensis (Bolivian squirrel monkey)
Lineage: Eukaryota; Metazoa; Chordata; Mammalia; Primates; Cebidae
Source: Ensembl
GUCUACGGCCAUACCACCCUGAAUGCACCCGAUCUCGUCUGCUCUCGGAAGCAAAGCAGGGUCGGGCCUGGUUAGUACUUGGAUGGGAGGAGUUUAUCAUUUAAUAAGAGAUUAGAAGUAUAAUCU